GUGGAAGGAGUGAACAGAACAAAGGGCCUCCACAAAACUUCGACGCUGAUGCCUUAUCUUGGUGUAGAAGUAACCCUGGACUAGGGGUAUGUGAGCAGUCUAGAUAACAUCAAAACAAUGAGAGCCAGUUGGAGGUAGCUAGAGCACAUGCCUGCCUUGGACUCUUGAAGACCAUGCUGGUUGGGUUCUUUCUACCAUGCUGAAAAAUUUGCAAGGACAGGACUCACAGUAGCAGACAGUUUCUGCUUUCCCAGGACCUACUUGGCUAAGUAUGGAGAAGCUCUUCAUCAUCAGAAGCUUUGCACCCCAGAGGCACUCAGUACCUGUAUCACUGGACAAGUCAUUUCAUCUUCCUGUGCCUCAGUUUCCCCAUCUGCAAAGUGAA
Phascolarctos cinereus (koala) is the source of this 385-nucleotide non-coding RNA. Lineage: Eukaryota; Metazoa; Chordata; Mammalia; Diprotodontia; Phascolarctidae. The record is from RefSeq and is a predicted model, not a curated record.